UGGCGGCGUGCCUAACACAUGUCAAGUCGAACGGGGUUAAAGUGAAAUUUUCGGAUGGAUCUUUAACUUAGUGGCGGACGGGUGAGUAACGCGUGGAUAACCUGCCUCGCACAGGGGGAUAGCAGCUGGAAACGGCUGGUAAUACCGCAUAAGACCACGGCCCUGCAUGGGGCUGAGGUAAAAGAUUUAUCGGUGCGAGAUGGAUCCGCGUCUGAUUAGCCAGUUGGCGGGGUAACGGCCCACCAAAGCGACGAUCAGUAGCCGGCCUGAGAGGGUGAACGGCCACAUUGGGACUGAGACACGGCCCAAACUCCUACGGGAGGCAGCAGUGGGGAAUAUUGCACAAUGGGCGCAAGCCUGAUGCAGCAACGCCGCGUGAGUGAAGAAGUAUUUCGGUAUGUAAAGCUCUAUCGGCAGGGAAGAAAGGCCCGAAAGGGAGAUGACGGUACCUGACUAAGAAGCCCCGGCUAACUACGUGCCAGCAGCCGCGGUAAUACGUAGGGGGCAAGCGUUAUCCGGAUUUACUGGGUGUAAAGGGAGCGCAGACGGCAGCGCAAGUCUGAUGUGAAAGCCCGGGGCUCAACCCCGGAACUGCAUUGGAAAACUGUACAGCUUGAGUGUCGGAGGGGUAAGCGGAAUUCCUAGUGUAGCGGUGAAAUGCGUAGAUAUUAGGAGGAACACCGGUGGCGAAGGCGGCUUACUGGACGAUCACUGACGUUGAGGCUCGAAAGCGUGGGGAGCAAACAGGAUUAGAUACCCUGGUAGUCACGCUGUAACGAUGAAUACUAGGUGUGGUGUGCCUGGACAUC
This 809-nucleotide ribosomal RNA is filed under the name uncultured rumen bacterium. Its description in RNAcentral is "bacterial SSU rRNA". It matches the Rfam family "Bacterial small subunit ribosomal RNA", at positions 37 to 842 of the family's 1533-position model. The record is from RNAcentral.